UGGGGAAUAUUGGGCAAUGGGGGGGACCCUGACCCAGCAACGCCGCGUGAGGGAAGAAGGUUUUCGGAUUGUAAACCUCUGUUCUUGGAGAAGAGUGGAAGACGGUAUCCAAGGAGGAAGCCCCGGCUAACUACGUGCCAGCAGCCGCGGUAAUACGUAGGGGGCGAGCGUUGUCCGGAAUGAUUGGGCGUAAAGGGCGCGCAGGCGGCCAUUCAAGUCAGUAGUGGAAGUCCAUUUUUCAAGGGUGGAAGUGCUAUUGAAACUGUAUGGCUUGAGUGCGGGAGAGGUUAUCGGAAUUCCCGGUGUAGCGGUGAAAUGCGUAGAGAUCGGGAGGAACACCAGUGGCGAAGGCGGGUAACUGGACCGCAACUGACGCUGAGGCGCGAAAGUGUGGGGAGCAAACAG
This 405-nucleotide ribosomal RNA is filed under the name uncultured bacterium. RNAcentral describes it as "bacterial SSU rRNA". It matches the Rfam family "Bacterial small subunit ribosomal RNA", at positions 355 to 775 of the family's 1533-position model. The record is from RNAcentral.